This is a non-coding RNA of Aegilops tauschii subsp. strangulata, 2745 nucleotides long. The record is from RefSeq and is a predicted model, not a curated record. NCBI's taxonomy places the organism in Eukaryota, Viridiplantae, Streptophyta, Magnoliopsida, Poales, Poaceae.
AUAAGCUAUUUCUUAGUAGUGACUCGCCAAGGGCCUUUUUUCUCUUCGAUUUCCCCCUUGUCUUCUUCUCCUCCUUCUCAUUCUGUGCACGCUCGCUUCACCCACUCGCUGCGCACUCUCUACGUCGCCUCGCUUCGUCCCGUUCGAACGCCCUGCCCUCCGGCUCUGCACCAUGGCCAUCUAUUCCUCCAUUGGUGCUGUUGGUUAAGAUUCUUUCUAGUCUGCUCCUCCGGUUCUUUCCUGCUGUUGUUUGUACGAUUUACUGAUCUCGUCUGUUUCCAUUUGCUCCCUUCGUGCGCAGCUUCCUUGACUUUCGCGUUGGCUCCUUCGUAGGAGCGUGGGUCGUUCCGUCCUUGCUGUCCAGCCUGCUCUGCUUCUCUAUGGGUGCAUGCCUGUUAGGUGUUUGAUGAAAUGCGCGAGGGUUGCUCGAUGAAUGAUGUCGUGUGUUUUCAUCUUGCGUUGGUUGUGCAUGGUUCGCGGUGUCGGUUUCCGCGGCUUGUAUGAGGAUACGAUGAUGCUGAUACUUUUGUAAAAUAGUGAUGUUUGAAGGCGAUGUGUCUUUUUGUUUUGCUUCUAUUUUGUUGCUUGUUUUGCUGUUUGCGUUGGAAUGGAUGAACACUUUUGUUUCCAUCGUUGCACCUGUUUUGGAAUACCAUUGCAGCACAGGCAGAGUGUGCUUUCAGUGGUCGUUGCUUUCUCCCGUGUUCUGAUCUCUUAUGUACUAAUGAUCUUUAUGGACUGAUUAUUUCACAAUGUCGUGUGAUCUUUUGUCUUUCGGUACAGUUGGUUUGUUUAUUAUAGAUCCUAUAUAGUUGCAUGCCGUUGUUCUAUACUGAUUAUUUCCCUUUCUAUUUUACAGGUUGUUCCAUCUUGCUGAUUUCGUGCAGAAUCUUCGUUUAGCUCGUUGCCGCGUUUCCAUUCUGCUCGUUGGACCUCGUCAAGGUUUGCUGUUGUGAUCCUUGCCUGUCUUGCUGCUCUGCUUUCUGUGUGUGCUUUCAUGUUCUAUAGCCUCCUAAUAGUUUUUGUCUCAUUCCGUCAUUUAAGCAUAAGUUCAGUUUCAUUUGCUCAAGUUGGAGCUGUGGUGUACCUCUGGAUGAGUAUACUACUGAGAGGGUUUAGAUUAGAGAACUAAACAAGCUGUGGGUCAGUGGCUAACCAAAUGCCACUGACCAUACAACUCUUUGUCACUUGGAUACUAGCAGCAAAUCAAAAUGAGCAGGGAGGAAACAACACUGGUUUUUAGUAGAUAUAUGUCUGUGAUUUACUUCCAAUGUUGUUCCUUGCAAAACUGUUCCUUGCAAUCCUGAAAUGGUUUCUCAAAAUAUGGGAAGAUUUACAUUCUAAAAAAUAUACGCACACUGAGUGAAGCAUAUAUAUAAUGCUAUUAUAACAUAGGUCAGGUAGAUGUAUAUAAUUUUCUAUACGCAAAUCAUUAUAGUAUGAUUUUAUUAGAACAAAGGCGGUACUACCACGACGUACAUUGUGGUUUGAGUUUUCAUCAAUGUCGCUCUUAUUAUUAUCUCUUUGUAGCUUCAUAUAACUUAGUGUUGACAUGGUCAUUUUACAGAAUGAGAGAAAAUGGUAGGUUGGCAGAAUCAUAACCUGUGAGUGCCUUAAGAAGUUUUUUUCAUUAUCUGUAAUAUAUUUUUUAGGGCCAGUUUAGAUGUGUAGUCGAAAAAUAUGAGGUACAACAGUGAAUAUUUUUCAUCGCCUUGGUGUUUAGUGUGUCUAUUGCAUAAUCCUUUUUUGCUUCUCUUUUCAAAGAAAGGACCAGGCUAGGAACAUAUGUUUAUAAUGAAGUUCUUUCAUUGCAGACUGCAUAGUAACUUCAAGUACUUAGUGGCGAUCCAUUAGCAGCAGACCUUGCCUAUGAGCUAAUGGUAGUCCAUGUAAAUGCCUUUAAUUCUUACACUUUAUCUUACACUUGAAUACUUGUCAGUGUUACUGCUAGCCUUUUACCUUUGUAAUACAUAGUAAGAAAUUUCUGAAGCUUUGUCUUCCCAUAUGUAUCUAAUUUGUUGUUGGCCAUUUAGAAAUAAUCAAUGAUUUCAGCAUGUGGGAGCUCAUGCUUAUGGGCAAGUUGUCUGGCUAAAUUUCUCUGUACAUACACCUUUAGAGAACUAGAAUUGUUUGAUACUGGUAGUGUAUGUCGAGCUGACUAAGAUACAUGCUUUUUUUCUCUACUUGGCAUCUGCUUCUCUUAAUUUUUCUAUAAUCCUUCCUUUACAUGUUGGUACGUUUUAUAGUCAGGUUCAGAUCGGCGAUACCCCUGCCAAUGGAUGAGUUACAUACUCGAUGAAGCUGAUCUUGGGCUCGGCCCUUCAACUCCAUCCCGCAACUGCUGGAAGUUUCCUAGCUAAGCAGCACUGAAAAACAAAGGAUUAAUGAAGCGGUGACAGGGUGGGCCACCUGAGGCGAUUGAUGUCAAGAUCCUGAGCAUGUGGAAUUUUGUUUGUCGAGUCUUGGCACCAGCAUUGUUAGCUGUUUUGUUAAUUUGUCCCCUGUUCAUGGGAGAUCCUUUAGGAGCUGUAGGCGCUAAACAACACUUAAGUUUCAUUCAUGCAACCACGAAGGUUUUGGGCCAUGACACUCUUGCUCUAAGAAAAGGUUCUUCACUCAAUUUUAUUCCAUAGGUUCUGGGAUAUCCUUUGAGUAAAUGAUAGCUUGCAAAAACGUCGUGCAUUGAGUGACGGAGGAGUAUUAAGGGAGAAACUUUAUCACCAAAUAAAGGCUUUGAUAUGAAAA